Molecule: ribosomal RNA, 807 nt
Filed under: uncultured cyanobacterium
Lineage: Bacteria; Bacillati; Cyanobacteriota
Description: bacterial SSU rRNA
Rfam family: Bacterial small subunit ribosomal RNA
Source: RNAcentral
GGAAACUGAACAGCUAGAGUGCGGUAGGGGCAGAGGGAAUCCCGGUGUAGCGGUGAAAUGCGUAGAGAUCGGGAAGAACACCAGUGGCGAAAGCGCUCUGCUGGACCGCAACUGACACUCAGGGGCGAAAGCUACGGGAGCGAAUGGGAUUAGAUACCCCAGUAGUCCUAGCCGUAAACGAUGGAUACUAGGUGUUGUGCGUAUCGACCCGCGCAGUGCCGCAGCUAACGCGCUAAGUAUCCCGCCUGGGGAGUACGCACGCAAGUGUGAAACUCAAAGGAAUUGACGGGGGCCCGCACAAGCGGUGGAGUAUGUGGUUUAAUUCGAUGCAACGCGAAGAACCUUACCAGGACUUGACAUGUCCGGAACCUUCGGGAAACCGAAGGGUGCCUUCGGGAACCGGAACACAGGUGGUGCAUGGCUGUCGUCAGCUCGUGUCGUGAGAUGUUGGGUUAAGUCCCGCAACGAGCGCAACCCUCGUUUCUAGUUGCCAGCAUUGAGUUGGGCACUCUAGAGAGACUGCCGGUGACAAACCGGAGGAAGGUGGGGAUGACGUCAAGUCAGCAUGCCCCUUACGUUCUGGGCUACACACGUACUACAAUGCUUCAGACAAAGGGCAGCUAGCCAGCGAUGGUCAGCAAAUCCCACAAACUGAGGCUCAGUUCAGAUCGCAGGCUGCAACUCGCCUGCGUGAAGGCGGAAUCGCUAGUAAUCGCCGGUCAGCAUACGGCGGUGAUACGUUCCCGGGCCUUGUACACACCGCCCGUCACACCAUGGGAGCUGGCGGUGCCCGAAGUCGUUAUCCUA